CAAUAGCGUAUACUAAAGUUGUUGCGAUUAAAAAGCUCGUAGUUGGAUCUCAGGCAUGGGCGCACGGUCCGCCUCGCGGCGGUCACUGUGUGUUUUGUUUCCCAUCCUACGCUUCCCGGUUAUCAGCCCAUGGUGCUCUUCACUGAGCGUUUUGGGUGGCCGGAACGUUUACUUUGAAGAAAUUAGAGUGUUCAAAGCAGGCACGUCGCCUGAAUAAUGGUGCAUGGAAUAAUGGAAUAGGACCUCGGUUCUAUUUUGCUGGUUUUCGGAACACGAGGUAAUGAUUAAGAGGGACAGACGGGGGCAUCCGUAUUGCGGUGUUAGAGGUGAAAUUCUUGGAUCAUCGCAAGACGAACAACUGCGAAAGCAUUUGCCAAGCAUGUUCUCAUUAG
Molecule: ribosomal RNA, 392 nt
Filed under: uncultured eukaryote
Lineage: Eukaryota
Description: partial 18S ribosomal RNA
Rfam family: Eukaryotic small subunit ribosomal RNA
Source: RNAcentral